AGUGAACGCUGGCGGUAGGCCUAACACAUGCAAGUCGAACGGCAGCACAGUAAGAGCUUGCUCUUACGGGUGGCGAGUGGCGGACGGGUGAGGAAUACAUCGGAAUCUACUUUUUCGUGGGGGAUAACGUAGGGAAACUUACGCUAAUACCGCAUACGACCUACGGGUGAAAGCAGGGGAUCUUCGGACCUUGCGCGAUUGAAUGAGCCGAUGUCGGAUUAGCUAGUUGGCGGGGUAAAGGCCCACCAAGGCGACGAUCCGUAGCUGGUCUGAGAGGAUGACCGGCCACACUGGAACUGAGACACGGUCCAGACUCCUACGGGAGGCAGCAGUGGGGAAUAUUGGACAAUGGGCGCAAGCCUGAUCCAGCCAUACCGCGUGGGUGAAGAAGGCCUUCGGGUUGUAAAGCCCUUUUGUUGGGAAAGAAAAGCAGCAGGUUAAUACCCCGCUGUUCUGACGGUACCCAAAGAAUAAGCACCGGCUAACUUCG
RNAcentral lists this ribosomal RNA (490 nucleotides) under uncultured bacterium. Its description in RNAcentral is "partial 16S ribosomal RNA". It matches the Rfam family "Bacterial small subunit ribosomal RNA", at positions 29 to 505 of the family's 1533-position model. The record is from RNAcentral.